Molecule: non-coding RNA, 163 nt
Organism: Glossina brevipalpis
Lineage: Eukaryota; Metazoa; Arthropoda; Insecta; Diptera; Glossinidae
Source: Rfam
ACCAAAAUUUCGCGAAAUAAUGCAUUACGGUGGUCUCCUGGAGGAGAGACAAUAGACAAAGUGUGUGUAGGGAGCAGGUUUAGUACGUAGGUACCAUGGGUGCUGAAUCGUGCAUGCUACUGACACGGGCCGGUAGUAUCCCUGGAAGAUUUUCAACUCCAGC